GAUGAACGCUGGCGGCGUGCCUAAUACAUGCAAGUCGAGCGAACAGAUGAGGAGCUUGCUCCUCUGACGUUAGCGGCGGACGUGAGAGUAAAAUGAGGAUAACCUACCUAUAAGACUGGGAUAACUUCGGGAAACCGGAGCUAAUACUGUAUAAUAUAUUGAAGCGGAUGGUUCAAUAGUUAAAGACGGUUUUGCUGUCACUUCUACCUGGAUCCGCGCCGCAUUAGCUAGUUGGUAGGGUAACGGCUUACCAAGGCAACGAUGCGUAGCCGACCUGGGAGGGUGAUCGGCGACACUGGGGCUGAGACGCGAUCCAGACACCUAGGGGAGGCACCGGUAGGGAAUGUACCGCGAUGGGCGGAAGCCUGACGGAGCAGCGCCGGGUGGGUGAUGAAGGUCUUCGGGUGGUAAAACUCUGUUAGUAUGGAAGAACAAAUGCGUAAGUGACUAUGCACGUCUUGACGGUACCUACACAAGAAGCCACGGCUAACUACGUG
RNAcentral lists this ribosomal RNA (497 nucleotides) under uncultured bacterium. Its description in RNAcentral is "partial 16S ribosomal RNA". It matches the Rfam family "Bacterial small subunit ribosomal RNA", at positions 28 to 507 of the family's 1533-position model. The record is from RNAcentral.